UACGGAGGGUGCGAGCGUUGUCCGGAAUCACUGGGCGUAAAGGGCGCGUAGGUGGCCUGUGGAAGUCUGCGGUGAAAGCCCGGCGCUCAACGCCGGGUCGGCCGUGGAUACUCUCGGGCUUGAGCUUACUAGAGGCAGAUGGAAUUCCGGGUGUAGCGGUGGAAUGCGUAGAGAUCCGGAAGAACACCGGUGGCGAAGGCGGCAUCCUGGACCAACACUGACACUGAGGAGCGAAAGCCAGGGGAGCAAACGGG
Molecule: ribosomal RNA, 254 nt
Filed under: uncultured bacterium
Lineage: Bacteria
Description: partial 16S ribosomal RNA
Rfam family: Bacterial small subunit ribosomal RNA
Source: RNAcentral